GGAUGUGAAGGUGAUCUGGCUGCGAUAUCUUUCACCCCAUUGAUCACCAGGGUUGAUUCGGCUGAUCUGUUUGGCUAGGCGGGUGUCUCCUUCCUUCCUCACUGCUCCAUGUGAAUCCCUCCUGAAGCUGCGCGCUCCAUCGAAGAGGACGACUAUACCCAAUAAAGGAGGACCAUUCUUUGGUCAAGGGUUUAUGAGUAGCUGCGCUCCCCUGCUAGAACCUCCAAACAAGCUCUCAAGAAAUUAGUGAAUGGAGAAAAACAUGCCAUGCUAACACUAAUCAAAAGAAUGCAGGAAUAGGCAUAUUAAGUUU
This 313-nucleotide small nuclear RNA is filed under the name Vulpes vulpes (red fox). Its description in RNAcentral is "7SK RNA (ENSVVUG00000005466.1)". It matches the Rfam family "7SK RNA". From Rfam's summary of the family: 7SK was discovered as an abundant small nuclear RNA in the mid-70s but a possible function has only recently been suggested. Two independent studies have found that 7SK RNA binds the CDK9/cyclin T complex (known as elongation factor P-TEFb). Lineage: Eukaryota; Metazoa; Chordata; Mammalia; Carnivora; Canidae. The record is from Rfam by way of RNAcentral.